AUUGAACGCUGGCGGCAGGCCUAACACAUGCAAGUCGAGCGGAUGAAGGGAGCUUGCUCCUGGAUUCAGCGGCGGACGGGUGAGUAAUGCCUAGGAAUCUGCCUGGUAGUGUGGGAUAACGUCCGGAAACGGGCGCUAAUACCGCAUACGUCCUGAGGGAGAAAGUGGGGGAUCUUCGGACCUCACGCUAUCAGAUGAGCCUAUGUCGGAUUAGCUAGUUGGUGGGUUAAAGGCCUACCAAGCCGACGAUCCGUAACUGGGCUGCGAGGAUGAUCAGUCACACUGGAACUGAGACACGGUCCAGACUCCUACGGGAGGCAGCAGUGGGGAAUAUUGGACAAUGGGCGAAAGCCUGAUCCAGCCAUGCCGCGUGUGUGAAGAAGGUCUUCGGAUUGUAAAGCACUUUAAGUUGGGAGGAAGGGCAGUAAGUUAAUACCUCGCUGUUUUGACGUUACCCAAAGAAUAAGCACCGGCUAACUUCGUG
Molecule: ribosomal RNA, 484 nt
Filed under: uncultured bacterium
Lineage: Bacteria
Description: partial 16S ribosomal RNA
Rfam family: Bacterial small subunit ribosomal RNA
Source: RNAcentral